UUCGUCAUCACCAUCGUCCAAGAAAACUCCCGUGAGAGCGGGAGUGAGAGAACUCACGCUCAAAUACUCCUCUCCUCGAACGGUCUUCGGGAAAUCAGUAGAGAGAAAGAUGUGAAAGAGAGAGAUAGAGAGACAGAAGACUAGCCAGGAGAUCAAGCGGAACACUUCUUUAGUUGUCAGAAACCCUAGAAACAGAGAGAACAAGCAGAGCCAAGGAAAGAGAAGCAAGAAUUGAUUUAAUAGGAACAACCGAACAGAAGAGCUAGGGUUUUAGUCUAUUCUGCAACUCGUAAAUGAGUCCAGUUCAGAACUUCGAACAGCAUGCUCGGCAUCUUAUAGAGCCGGACAUCCCUAUACAGGAAAGGCUUCAGAUGGCAAUGGAGGUGCGGGACAGCCUCGAGAUUGCGCAUACUGCUGAGUACUUAAAGUUCCUGAAAUGCUAUUUCCGGGCCUUCUCCAUGAUUCUUACACAGUUAACGACACCUCAACUCACGGACAACCCCGAACACAAGGUUAGAAAUGUUAUCGUUGAGAUUCUUAAUCGUCUCCCUCACAGCGAAGUACUCCGCCCCAUCGUUCAGGAUCUUUUGAAACUCGCUCUACAAGUUCUCACUUUGGACAACGAGGAGAAUGGCCUAGUUUGUAUACGUAUCAUCUUUGACCUUUUGCGUAACUUUAGGCCGAGCCUUGAGAAUGAGGUCCAGCCGUUCCUUGACUUCGUUUGUAAGAUAUACCAGAACUUUGGGGCGACUGUUAGUUAUUACUUUGAGGAUGGGGCGGGUGGAGAAGAUAAUAAGCAGCUCACUGAUUCGGGUCAACUUGCUAGUGGGUACAUUGGUGGCGGGCAGCUUAACCCCAGCACCCGUUCCUUUAAGAUAGUCACGGAGAGCCCACUGGUAGUGAUGUUCCUUUUCCAGCUGUAUGGGCGGCUGGUUCAGACCAACAUUCCUCACCUGUUGCCUUUGAUGGUUUCCGCAAUAUCUGUUUCGGGUCCUGAAAAGGUUCCUCCGCAGUCAAAGAUCCACUUCAUUGAAUUGAAGAGUGCACAGGUUAAGACAAUUUCCUUUUUAACUUACUUGCUGAAAAGUUUUGCUGACUAUAUAAGGCCUCAUGAAGAAAGCAUAUGUAGAAGCAUUGUGAAUUUGUUUGUUAGUUGUCCAGACACUGUUUCUGUUCGGAAGGAAUUGCUUGUAGCAUUGAAACAUGUUCUUGGAACAGAUUUUAAGCGGGGAUUAUUUCCUUUAAUUGACACUUUAUUGGAGGAGAGGGUUUUGGUGGGAUCUGGUCGAGCUUGCUUUGAUACAUUGAGACCAUUAGCUUAUAGUCUACUUGCAGAGAUUGUACAUCAUGUCCGAGGGGAUCUCUCACUAUCACAGUUGUCAAGAAUUAUUUACUUGUUCUCCAGGAACAUGCAUGAUUCAUCCCUGUCAUUGAGCAUUCAUACUACCUGUGCACGCCUAAUGCUGAAUCUGGUGGAGCCUAUUUUUGAGAAAGGUGUUGAUCAAUUAUCCAUGGAUGAAGCAAGGGUUUUAUUGGGUCGAAUUCUGGAUGCUUUUGUAGGGAAGUUUAGUACCUUCAAACGGACCAUUCCUCAGCUAUUGGAGGAGGGUGAGGAAGGAAAGGAACGAUUGACAUUGAGGUCAAAGCUUGAACUCCCUGUGCAGGCAGUUUUAAAUCUGCAGGUCCCUGUGGAGCACUCCAAGGAAAUCAGUGAUUGUAAACAUCUAAUUAAGACGCUGGUCAUGGGAAUGAAGACAAUAAUUUGGAGCAUCACUCAUUGUCAUUUAUCACGAACACAGGUUUCACCAUCAGCACAUGGAACACAUCAGCAAAUGCAGGUCUCCCCAUCAUCUAACUUGCCAGUUCCUCAAGCAUUUAAAGGGAUGAGAGAGGAGGAGGUGUGGAAGGCCUCUGGUGUCCUGACAAGUGGUGUCCAUUGCUUAACUCUCUUCAAGGAGAAAGACGAAGAGAGGGAGAUGCUUCACCUUUUUUCUCAAAUAUUAGCUAUUAUGGAGCCACGAGAUCUUAUGGAUAUGUUUUCUAUGUGCAUGCCAGAAAUUUUUGAGUGCAUGAUCAGCAACAAUCAGUUGCUUCACAUAUUUUCUACCCUUCUGCAAGCACCCAAGGUUUUUCGGCCUUUUGCAGAUGUUUUGGUCAAUUUCCUCGUCAGUAGCAAGCUUGAUUUUUUUAAGAAUCCAGAUACACCAGCAGCGAAACUUGUGUUGCAUCUUUUUCGGUUGUUAUUCACUGCUGUUUCUAAGGCUCCUUCAGAUUGUGAACGUAUUCUACAGCCUCAUGUGCCUGUUAUCAUGGAGGCUUGCAUAAAGAAUGCCACUGAAGUUGAAAGGCCUCUUGGUUAUAUGCAACUUCUUCGUACAAUGUUCCGUGCACUUGCAGGGGGAAAAUUUGAACUUCUUUUGCGAGACCUGAUUCCUACAUUGCAACCCUGCCUAAAUAUGUUACUGGCUAUGGUAGAUGGGCCUACUGGUGAAGACAUGAGGGACCUUGUGCUGGAGCUUUGCCUAACUUUACCAGCCCGUUUAAGUUCUUUGUUGCCUCACCUUCCCCGUCUUAUGAAGCCUCUGGUUUUGACUCUAAAAGGAAGUGAUGACCUUGUAAGCUUAGGUCUAAGGACACUUGAGUAUUGGAUUGAUAGUUUAAACCCUGAUUUCUUGGAACCAAGUAUGGCAAAUAUCAUGUCGGAAGUGAUCCUAACUUUAUGGUCACACUUGAGGCCAGCACCCUAUCCAUGGGGUGCAAAAGCUUUGCAACUUCUUGGUAAACUCGGUGGUCGGAACAGACGUUUUCUCAAAGAACCCCUUGCACUUGAGUGUAAAGAGAACCCUGAGCAUGGGCUUCGAUUGAUUUUUACAUUUGAGCCAUCAACUCCUUUUUUAGUACCUUUGGAUCGUUGCAUAUAUCUGGCUGUAGCUGCUGUCAUGCAGAAGACUGCUGGCAUGGAUGCUUUUUACAGAAAGCAGGCUUUAAAGUUCCUCCGUGUGUGCUUGUCUUCUCAACUGAACUUACGAGGUAAUGUUACUGGGGAGGGUAUCACACCUGGGCAAUUGUCAACAUUAUUAGUUUCUUCAAUGGAUCCUUCCUGGCACCGGGCUGAGACCUCAGAUUUUAAGGGUGACUUGGGUGUCAAGACUAAAACACAACUUCUGGCUGAGAAAUCUGUGUUUAAGGUCCUCUUGAUGACCAUCAUUGCUGCUAGUGCAGAACCAGAUCUCUGUGACUUCAAGGAUGAUUUUGUUCUCAAUGUUUGCCGCCAUUUUGCUUUUAUUUUCCAUGUGGAGAACUGUUCAACUAAUUCUUCAGUUGCGACCGGGCAACUUGUGGGCCCUGUGCUUUCAUCAACUAAUAACAUGGGUUCCAGAUCUAGGGGCUCUUCUUCUUCAAAUCUCAAGGAGUUGGAUCCACUGAUAUUUUUGGAUGCAUUGGUGGAAGUGCUAGCAGAUGAAAACAGGCUUCAUGCUAAGGCUGCUCUUAAUGCUUUAAAUUUGUUUGCUGAGACACUUCUUUUCCUUGCUCGCUCAAAGCAUAGUGGAGUGCUAACUUCAAGGGGAGCUCCUGUUACUCCUAUGAUGGUUUCUAGUCCAUCAAUGAAUCCUGUAUAUUCACCACCCCCUAAUGUUAGGAUCCCUGUGUUUGAGCAACUUUUGCCUCGUCUUCUCCAUUGUUGUUAUGGGAAUACAUGGCAAGCUCAAAUUGGGGGUGUGAUGGGGCUAGGUGCUUUGGUGGGUAAAGUCACAGUUGAGACUUUAUGUUUUUUCCAAGUCAGAAUUGUCCGUGGUCUUUUAUAUGUUCUCAAAAGACUUCCUGCGCAUGCUAACAAGGAACAAGAGGAGACGAGUCAAGUGCUCACACAGGUCCUCCGUGUGGUGAAUAAUGUUGAUGAAACAAAUAGCGAACCCCGUAGGCAAAGCUUUCAGGGUGUUGUUGAUUUUCUUGCUUCAGAGUUGUUUAACGCUAAUGCAUCCAUUGUUGUUAGGAAGAAUGUACAAUCAUGCCUAGCACUUCUGGCGAGUAGGACUGGUAGUGAGGUCUCUGAGUUGCUUGAGCCUUUGUAUCAACCAUUGCUUCAGCCCUUUAUAAUGCGAUCACUUCGGUCCAAGAAUGUUGAUCAACAGGUUGGGACAGUUACAGCUUUGAAUUUUUGCUUGGCUUUGAGACCACCUCUUAUCAAGUUGACUCCUGAGCUCGUUAAUUUCUUGCAAGAAGCUCUGCAAAUCGCUGAAGCUGAUGAGACCGUAUUGGUUGUGAAAUUUAUGAACCCAAAAGUUGCAACUUCAUUAAACAAACUUCGGACAGCAUGUAUUGAGUUACUAUGUACAGCAAUGGCAUGGACAGAUUUUAAAACUCCAAAUCAUUCUGAACUGCGGGCAAAGAUCAUUUCCAUGUUUUUCAAGUCAUUGACUUGUCGGACACCGGAAAUUGUUGCUGUUGCAAAGGAGGGGCUUCGGCAGGUUAUUCAACAACAAAGGAUGCCCAAAGACCUUCUGCAGACUAGCCUUCGACCUAUUUUAGUUAAUUUGGCACAUACAAAGAGUCUCAGCAUGCCUCUUUUGCAAGGUUUGGCACGUUUACUUGAACUUCUCUCCAACUGGUUUAAUGUUACUUUGGGUGGUAAGCUUUUGGAGCAUCUGAGGAAAUGGUUAGAACCGGAAAAGCUUGCUCAAUCUCAGAAAUCAUGGAAGGCUGGAGAGGAACCGAAAAUUGCAGCAGCUAUUAUUGAGCUUUUCCAUCUGCUCCCUCCAGCGGCUGGGAGGUUCCUGGAUGAACUGGUGACCCUUACAAUUGAUUUGGAAGGGGCUCUUCCCCAAGGGCAAUUCUACAGUGAAAUUAACAGUCCUUAUCGCCUUCCACUCACCAAAUUCUUAAAUCGAUAUUCAAGUGAAGCUGUUGGGUAUUUUCUUGGUCGUUUAAGCCAGCCUAAAUACUUUAGGCGGUUUAUGUAUAUAAUACGUUCAGAUGCUGGCCAACCCUUGAGAGAAGAACUUGGAAAGUCUCCAGAGAAGAUACUUGCAAAUGCUUUCCCUCAAUUCUUUCCAAAGUCUGAAAAAUCUGUGGCUUCGGUAUCUAUGAUUCCACCUGCUGCUCCAGUGAAUGAAGAAAAUCUUGUUACACCUCUACCUGAAGGGCUUUCUAAUCCACCAUCUGCAUCCCAGAGUGCAAGCUCAGAUGCUUAUUUUCAGGGACUUGCACUUAUUUCAGCUUUGGUUAAACUGAUACCUGAAUGGUUGCACAAUAACCGUAUUGUUUUCGAUACGCUGGUUCUUGUCUGGAAAUCACCUGCAAGAAUUGCUCGUUUACACAAUGAGCAAGAGCUGAGUUUGGUUCAAGUGAAAGAAAGCAAAUGGAUUGUCAAAUGCUUUCUCAAUUACUUGCGGCAUGAGAAAACUGAAGUCAAUGUUUUAUUUGAUAUGCUUUCUAUUUUUUUAGUCCACACUCGUAUUGAUUAUACUUUCCUGAAGGAAUUUUACAUCAUUGAGGUUGCUGAAGGUUAUCCUCCAAAUAUGAAGAAAACCCUUCUAGUGCAUUUCUUGGAACUUUUCCAAUCCAAGCAACUCAGCCAUGAUCACCUGGUUGUUGCUAUGCAAAUGCUCAUUCUUCCAAUGCUAUCUCAUGCUUUUCAGAAUGGCCAAAGUUGGGAGGUUGUAGAUCCUACUGUUAUUAAGACAAUAGUCGAUAAGCUUCUUGAUCCCCCAGAAGAGGUUACAGCCGAGUAUGAUGAACCGUUGAGAAUAGAACUUCUGCAGCUCGCUACAUUACUUCUCAAAUAUCUACAAAAUGACCUUGUUCAUCAUCGAAAGGAACUCAUCAAAUUUGGUUGGAAUCAUCUGAAGCAAGAAGAGAGCGCCAGUAAGCAAUGGGCUUUUGUCAAUGUUUGCCAUUUCUUGGAGGCCUAUCAGGCUCCAGAGAAAAUUAUACUCCAGGUUUUUGUGGCUCUUCUUAGAACUUGCCAGCCAGAGAACAAGAUGCUGGUUAGGCAGGCACUUGAUAUACUAAUGCCAGCAUUGCCCCGAAGGUUGCCUGCGGUGGAUAACCGUAUGCCAAUUUGGAUCCGUUACACAAAAAAGAUUCUGGUUGAAGAAGGUCAUUCAAUUCCUAAUUUAAUUCACAUAUUCCAGCUCAUUGUCCGCCAUUCGGAUCUCUUCUACAGCUGUAGAGCACAAUUUGUUCCUCACAUGGUUAAUUCUCUGAGUCGCCUUGGGUUGCCAUAUAACACGACUGCAGAAAAUAGACGCCUUGCCAUUGAAGUUGCAGGUUUGGUUGUCGGAUGGGAAAGGCAGAGGCAAAAUGAAGUUAAAGCAUUACCUGAUACAGAAGGCCCUGACCAAGCUAGUGAUGUGUUUAAUCCGGGGCCUGUUAGUGUUGAUCCAAAACGUCCAUCAGAAGGUUCUUCAUUACCUGAUGAACUAAGUAAACGAGUAAAGGUUGAACCUGGUCUUCAAUCCAUCUGUGUCAUGUCCCCUGGUGGUGCUACAUCAAUCACCAAUAUAGAAACCCCUGGAUCUGCUGCCCAGCCUGAUGAGGCAUUCAAACCUAAUGCUGCCAUGGAAGAGAUGAUUAUCAAUUUUCUCAUUAGAGUUGCUUUGGUUAUAGAGCCCAAGGAUAAGGAGACAAGUUCAAUGUAUAAGCAGGCUUUGGCGCUAUUAUCACAAGCUUUAGAGGUGUGGCCUAAUGCCAAUGUUAAGUUCAAUUAUCUGGAGAAGUUGCUGAGCAGUCUUCAACCAUCUCAAUCAAAAGACCCCGUGACAGCUUUGGCUCAGGGCCUUGAUGUCAUGAACAAGGUUUUGGAGAAGCAACCUCAUUUGUUCAUCCGGAACAACAUCAACCAUAUUUCACAAAUACUUGAGCCUUGCUUCAACAAUAAAAUGCUGGAUGCUGGGAAGUCUCUGUGCUCCUUGUUGAAGAUGGUCUUUAUGGCAUUUACUUCAGAGGCGGCUAAUAUACCACAAGAUGUGAAGUUAUUUUACCAAAGGGUUGAGGAUCUUAUACAAAAGCAUCUUGCUGCUGUGACAUCCCCUCAGAUAUCACUAGAAAUUAGUGCUGCAAACUCCAUGAUUGGCUUUGCACUCUUUGUCAUUAAGACUUUGACAGAGGUGCAGAAGAACUUCAUUGAUCCAUUCAUUUUGCCGUUGGCCCGUGUCCUUCAACGCCUGAUACGGGAUAUGGGAUCAUCUGGAGGUCCUCACAUGAGACAAGGUCAGAGAACAGAGCCAGAAGCUGCUGGCCCUGCUCGUGUGGUUGGUGACGUCGGAUCAGUUACCCCUAAUUUGAAAUCUGUCUUAAAACUUAUUAGUGCAAGGAUCAUGCUUGUUCCUGAAAGUAAAAGAUCUGUAAGCCAAAUACUAAAUGCGCUACUGACUGAGAAGGGUACUGAUGCCAGUGUGCUACUUUGCAUACUUGAUGUAAUAAGGGGCUGGAUUGAAGAUGACUUCAGUAGGUCGGUGGCAUCUGGUGCAUCAGGAGCCGUUCUUACUCAGAAAGAGAUAGUUUCAUAUCUUCAGAAGUUGUCACUGGUUGAUAAGCUGGGUUUCUCCCAAAGUGUGCUGGAAGAGUGGGACAAGAAAUAUCUUGAACUUCUGUAUGGACUUUGUGCUGAAUCAAACAAGUAUCCACUGUCCAUGCGACAAGAAGUGUUCCAGAAAGUGGAAAGGCAAUUUAUGCUUGGUCUAAGGGCAAAAGAUCCAGAGGUCAGACAGAAAUUCUUCUUGCUAUAUCAUGAAUCUCUUGGGAAAACAUUGUUCGCAAGGCUGCAAUUUAUCAUCCAAAUUCAGGACUGGGAAGCUUUGAGUGAUGUCUUCUGGCUCAAACAAGGCCUUGAUCUUCUUCUGGCUAUCUUGCUUGAAAAUGAACCUAUCACACUUGCUCCAAACUCUGCUCGAGUACUCCCACUUAUGGCACAGGGUACUCUUUCAGAGCGUCCUGGAAUGCAGCAACAGGUUACUGAAGCACCUGAUAAUUCUGAAGGGAGUGUAUUAACACUUGAUAACCUUGUCUAUAAGCAUGCACAGUUUUUGAACGAGAUGAGAAAACUUAAGGUGGCUGAUCUUGUUGUUCCUUUGAGGGAACUGGCUCACACAGAUGCUAAUGUUGCAUAUCAUUUGUGGGUACUGGUAUUCCCAAUUGUCUGGGUGACUUUACACAAGGAAGAGCAGGUGGCAUUAGCUAAGCCAAUGAUAGCUCUCUUGUCAAAAGAUUACCACAAAAAGCAACAAGGAAACAGACCAAAUGUUGUACAGGCACUUUUAGAAGGUCUUCAUUUGAGCCACCCUCAACCUCGGAUGCCAAGUGAACUCAUUAAAUAUAUUGGAAAGACUUACAAUGCCUGGCACAUCUCAUUGGCUCUGCUCGAAAGUCAUGUCAUGUUGUUCAUGAAUGAAGCAAAGUGUUCUGAGUCUCUUGCUGAACUUUAUCGAUUGCUCAAUGAGGAGGAUAUGAGGUGUGGCCUGUGGAAGAAGAGAUCAAUUACUGCAGAAACACGCACUGGGCUUUCACUUGUUCAACAUGGUUAUUGGCAAAGGGCCCAAAGCCUAUUUUACCAAGCCAUGAUCAAGGCAACCCAGGGCACUUAUAAUAACACAGUUCCAAAGGCUGAAAUGUGUCUUUGGGAAGAGCAAUGGCUUUAUUGUGCUAGUCAGCUUAGUCAGUGGGAUGUUUUGGCAGACUUUGGUAAAAGUGUUGAAAAUUAUGAAAUACUUCUGGAUUGUCUCUGGAAAAUUCCUGAUUGGGCAUACGUGAAGGAUAAUGUAAUUCCUAAGGCUCAAGUAGAAGAAACUCCAAAGCUCCGCUUAAUCCAGGCGUUUUUUGCUCUUCAUGAUAGGAAUACAAAUGGUGUGGGAGAGGCGGAAAAUAUAGUGGGAAAGGGUGUUGAUCUUGCUUUAGAACAAUGGUGGCAAUUGCCUGAGAUGUCUGUUCAGGCCCGGAUACCUCUUUUACAGCAGUUUCAACAGCUAGUUGAAGUUCAAGAAUCAGCUAGAGUUAUUGUGGAUAUUUCCAAUGGAAACAAGCAGCUUUCAGGAAACUCCGUUGCAGGUGUUCAUGCUAGUGGUUAUAUGGAUCUGAAGGACAUCCUUGAGACAUGGCGUCUCAGGACCCCAAAUGAGUGGGACAACUCAUCUGUUUGGUAUGAUUUACUUCACUGGCGAAAUGAGAUGUAUAAUACUAUUAUUGAUGCAUUCAAAGAUUUUGGCAGCACAAACCCACAGCUUCAUCAUCUUGGUUACCGUGACAAAGCUUGGAAUGUCAAUAUGCUUGCUCACAUCGCCCGUAAGCAAGGUCUUUAUGAUGUGUGUGUGACAAUACUUGAGAAGAUGUAUGGCCACUCAACCAUGGAAGUACAGGAGGCCUUUGUCAAAAUUAGAGAACAAGCAAAAGCUUAUCUUGAGAUGAAGGGAGACCUUACCAGUGGUCUUAAUUUGAUCAAUGGUGCUAAUCUUGAAUAUUUUCCGGUGAAACAUAAAGCAGAAAUUUUUCGCCUCAAAGGGGAUUUCCUAUUGAAAUUAACUGAUCAUGAAAAGGCUAAUGUUGCAUAUUCCAAUGCCAUCAGUCUUUUCAAGCAUUUACCAAAAGGAUGGAUAAGUUGGGGAAACUAUUGUGACAUGGUUUACAAAGAAACUCAAGAAGAGAUUUGGUUAGAAUAUGCUGUUAGUUGCUUUCUUCAAGGAAUCAAAUGUGGUGUUUCUAACUCCAGAAGCCAUUUAGCUCAUGUCCUAUACCUUCUCAGCUUUGAUACUUCCAAUGAACCGGUGGGAAGAGCAUUUGAUAAGUACUUGGACCAGAUCCCACAUUGGGUUUGGCUUUCUUGGGUCCCACAGCUAUUGCUUUCCUUGCAGAGGACAGAAGCGCCCCAUUGCAAACUUGUGCUAUUAAAAAUUGCGACUAUGUAUCCACAGGCUCUUUAUUACUGGUUACGCACAUAUUUGCUUGAGCGCCGUGAUGUUGCCAAUAAAUCUGAAUUAGGAAGAUUGCGAAUGCAGCAAGGCGCCUCUGGGACUGGCACAACUUCUUUAGGCUUGUCUGAGGGAACAGCAAGAGUACAGACUCAUGCUGGGGGUUCUCUGACAACAGACAAUCAGGUUCAUCAAGGCCCUCAGUCUGCAAGUAUUGGCAGAUCACAUGACGGUGGGAACUCUCAUGGACAAGAACAUGAAAGGACCACAGGUGUAGAAGGAAGUGUGCAUGGUGGGCAUGACCAGCCUUCACAGCAAAGUUCUUCAACCAUUAGUGAAGGUCAAGGUGUCUUGAGGCGUAAUGGUAUGCUUGGAUUAGUAGCUUCUGCUGCUAGUGCAUUUGAUGCUGCGAAAGAUAUAAUGGAGGCUCUUAGAAGCAAGCAUACUAAUUUGGCUAGUGAGCUUGAGACUCUGCUUACGGAAAUUGGUUCAAGGUUUGUUACCCUUCCUGAGGAGAGACUACUGGCUGUGGUAAAUGCUCUGCUUCAUCGCUGUUACAAGUACCCAACUGCCACUACAGCAGAGGUUCCACAAUCCCUGAAAAAGGAGCUGUCCGGUGUUUGCAAGGCUUGCUUUUCGGCUGAUGCUGUGACCAAACAUGUUGAAUUUGUGAGAGAAUAUAAGCAGGACUUUGAACGUGAUCUUGAUCCAGAAAGCACGGCUACUUUUCCGGCCACCCUUUCUGAACUGACUGAGCGAUUGAAGCACUGGAAAAAUGUUCUUCAAAGCAAUGUUGAGGACAGAUUUCCAGCUGUCUUGAAGCUAGAAGAGGAAAGCAGGGUGUUGCAUGAUUUUCAUGUGGUUGAUGUUGAAGUUCCGGGGCAGUAUUUUACUGAUCAGGAAGUUGCACCUGAUCAUACAGUGAAGUUAGACAGAGUUGGAGCCGACAUUCCAAUUGUGAGACGGCAUGGAAGCAGUUUCCGCCGACUGACACUCAUUGGAUCUGAUGGUUCUCAACGCCAUUUUAUUGUUCAAACAUCUUUGACCCCUAAUGCUAGAAGUGAUGAACGCAUACUGCAGCUGUUCCGUGUGAUGAACCGGAUGUUUGACAAGCACAAGGAAUCAAGGCAGCGCCACAUAUGCAUCCACACCCCAAUAAUUAUCCCUGUUUGGUCCCAGGUUAGGAUGGUAGAAGAUGACUUGAUGUAUAGCACGUUUCUUGAGGUCUAUGAGAAUAAUUGUGCACGUAACAAUCGAGAGGCAGAUCUCCCAAUUACUCAUUUCAAGGAGCAAUUAAACCAAGCCAUCUCCGGCCAGAUUUCACCCGAAGCUGUUGUGGAUCUCCGCCUCCAAGCGUAUAAUGAGAUAACAAAGACUCUUGUCACAGAUGGCAUAUUCUCUCAGUACAUGUACAAGACUCUUCCGAGUGGUAACCAUCUGUGGGCUUUUAAAAAGCAGUUUGCCAUCCAGUUGGCACUUUCUAGUUUCAUGUCAUUCAUGCUACAGAUUGGAGGAAGGACCCCCAACAAGAUUCUGUUUGCAAAGAACACUGGAAAAAUAUUUCAGACUGACUUCCACCCAGCUUAUGAUGCAAAUGGGAUGAUUGAGUUUAAUGAAGCAGUUCCUUUCCGACUGACAAGAAACAUGCAGGCAUUCUUCUCCCAUUUUGGAGUGGAGGGGCUGAUUGUUUCUUCCAUGUGUGCUGCCGCACAAGCUGUGGUUUCACCUAAACAAAUUCAGCAUUUAUGGCAUCAUUUAGCCAUGUUUUUCCGUGAUGAGCUGCUGUCUUGGUCUUGGAGAAGGCCAUUGCAGAUGCCUUCGGCCCCUCCUGCUCCUGCAGGAGGCUGCUUAAACCCCAUGGACUUCAAGCUCAAGGUCACUACAAAUGUGGACCACGUCAUUGGACGGAUCAAAGGAGUAGCACCACAGAACUUCUUGGAGGAGGAGGAUAAUGCUAUGGAACCACCGCAGUCUGUACAGAGAGGUGUAACUGAGCUGGUUGAAGCUGCCCUGAUGCCCAGGAAUUUGUGCAUGAUGGAUCCAACGUGGCACCCUUGGUUUUAGUUGUGGUUGCUUUUGGCCACAUCAUUGCUGAAAUAUAUGAAGCAUCUUUGGCCACCUCAACACUCAGUAAGAAUCUGAUGUGCAGCUCUCUCUCACUCACUCAAUCUCUCUCUCUCUCUCUCACACCUUAUUGCUGAUUCCUUCUAAAUCCAUUUAUAUAAACCAGUUGUAACAAAUUUGGCCAAGUAAUAAAAGCGAUCAUUCGGUUCGACGACGAAAUCAUCAUAGGUGACUGCCCAUGAAUGCCA
Telopea speciosissima is the source of this 12214-nucleotide RNA transcript. It is a transcript of the gene named transformation/transcription domain-associated protein-like, with no coding region annotated. NCBI's taxonomy places the organism in Eukaryota, Viridiplantae, Streptophyta, Magnoliopsida, Proteales, Proteaceae. The record is from RefSeq and is a predicted model, not a curated record. The transcript has 36 exons.